ACCUGACUAGCUCAGUCAGUAGAGCAUGUGAUUCUAGAUCUCAGGGUCUGAGUUCAAGUUUCAUGUUGGGUG
RNAcentral lists this transfer RNA (72 nucleotides) under Canis lupus familiaris (dog). It matches the Rfam family "tRNA". Rfam says of the family: Transfer RNA (tRNA) molecules are approximately 80 nucleotides in length. Their secondary structure includes four short double-helical elements and three loops (D, anti-codon, and T loops). Further hydrogen bonds mediate the characteristic L-shaped molecular structure. tRNAs have two regions of fundamental functional importance: the anti-codon, which is responsible for specific mRNA codon recognition, and the 3' end, to which the tRNAs corresponding amino acid is attached (by aminoacyl-tRNA synthetases). tRNAs cope with the degeneracy of the genetic code in two manners: having more than one tRNA (with a specific anti-codon) for a particular amino acid; and 'wobble' base-pairing, i.e. permitting non-standard base-pairing at the 3rd anti-codon position. The record is from Rfam by way of RNAcentral. Lineage: Eukaryota; Metazoa; Chordata; Mammalia; Carnivora; Canidae. RNAcentral also lists the same sequence under 1 other name.